Molecule: unclassified non-coding RNA, 258 nt
Filed under: Hevea brasiliensis (rubber tree)
Lineage: Eukaryota; Viridiplantae; Streptophyta; Magnoliopsida; Malpighiales; Euphorbiaceae
Source: RNAcentral
AGGAAGAAGGAUAGUUUGAGGAUUUACAAUGAGAGUAAUAAGGCGAGCUUGCAGUGUGUGGGUGAAGAGAGUAACAGUAAUGGAAACAGCGAUAGUAAUGGGAGUAGUGGAAGUUUCAACCCUGGCAGUUGUAUGGUUGUUCAGGAUGUGUGGUGUGGCCCUGGAAUUGGCUUUUCUGCUGAUGCUGUUGUUGGGUCAGUGGAUUGUGCUGUGGGGAGGAGAAAUGCGUCUGGGAGAGGGAAGAUUGAUGGGGACAAC